Acanthosepion pharaonis is the source of this 104-nucleotide non-coding RNA. Lineage: Eukaryota; Metazoa; Mollusca; Cephalopoda; Sepiida; Sepiidae. The record is from the annotation of a GenBank genome assembly.
CCACAUCACGUUGAAACUAGUUCCCGUACGAUCACCGACGUUAAGCAACGUCGAGCUGGUCAGUACCUAGAUGGGUAACCGCUUGGGAAUACCAGGUGCUGUAA